ACGGGUGAGUAACGCGUGGGUAACCUGCCCUGUACAGGGGGAUAACAGUCAGAAAUGACUGCUAAUACCGCAUAAGCGCACAGAGCUGCAUGGCUCAGUGUGAAAAACUCCGGUGGUAUAAGAUGGACCCGCGUUGGAUUAGCUGGUUGGUGGGGUAACGGCCCACCAAGGCGACGAUCCAUAGCCGGCCUGAGAGGGUGAACGGCCACAUUGGGACUGAGACACGGCCCAGACUCCUACGGGAGGCAGCAUG
RNAcentral lists this ribosomal RNA (253 nucleotides) under uncultured bacterium. Its description in RNAcentral is "partial 16S ribosomal RNA". It matches the Rfam family "Bacterial small subunit ribosomal RNA", at positions 102 to 353 of the family's 1533-position model. The record is from RNAcentral.